GUGUAUUUGAAAAGGAGAGCAGGUUAGCACUCCCCUUGAUAAGGACGGAAUUCACAUAUACGGGUGAGGCACUGCCGAAAGGCAUCCACCCAUGUUUGC
Molecule: small nuclear RNA, 99 nt
Organism: Styela clava
Lineage: Eukaryota; Metazoa; Chordata; Ascidiacea; Stolidobranchia; Styelidae
Source: RefSeq, a predicted model, not a curated record